UGGGGCAUGGUUCAGUGGUAGAGCGCAUGCUUAGCAUGCAGGAGACGUUGGGUUCAUCUCCCCCAA
This 66-nucleotide transfer RNA is filed under the name Marmota monax (woodchuck). RNAcentral describes it as "tRNA.Ala". The record is from RNAcentral. Lineage: Eukaryota; Metazoa; Chordata; Mammalia; Rodentia; Sciuridae.